This 253-nucleotide ribosomal RNA is filed under the name uncultured bacterium. Its description in RNAcentral is "partial 16S ribosomal RNA". It matches the Rfam family "Bacterial small subunit ribosomal RNA", at positions 524 to 776 of the family's 1533-position model. The record is from RNAcentral.
UACGGGGGGGGCAAGCGUUGUUCGGAAUUACUGGGCGUAAAGGGCGCGUAGGCGGCCUGCUAAGUCGGACGUGAAAUCCCUCGGCUCAACCGAGGAACUGCGUCCGAUACUGGUGGGCUUGAAUUCGGGAGAGGGAUGCGGAAUUCCAGGUGUAGCGGUGAAAUGCGUAGAUAUCUGGAGGAACACCGGUGGCGAAGGCGGCAUCCUGGACCGAGAUUGACGCUGAGGCGCGAAAGCCAGGGGAGCAAACGGG